Molecule: small nuclear RNA, 145 nt
Filed under: Vulpes vulpes (red fox)
Lineage: Eukaryota; Metazoa; Chordata; Mammalia; Carnivora; Canidae
Description: U2 spliceosomal RNA (ENSVVUG00000000351.1)
Rfam family: U2 spliceosomal RNA (bases 1-113)
About the family: U2 is a small nuclear RNA (snRNA) component of the spliceosome (involved in pre-mRNA splicing). Complementary binding between U2 snRNA (in an area lying towards the 5' end but 3' to hairpin I) and the branchpoint sequence (BPS) of the intron results the bulging out of an unpaired adenosine, on the BPS, which initiates a nucleophilic attack at the intronic 5' splice site, thus starting the first of two transesterification reactions that mediate splicing.
Source: RNAcentral
AUCGCUUCUCUGCCUUUUGGCUAAGAUCAAGUGUAAUAUCUGUUCUUAUCAGUUUAACAUAAGUUACAUGGAAAAGGUGAAUGAUGAGAUCCCUGAGUUCUUGGCCACCUCCCCUGGCACAUCUUGGAGACUAUUCCCACACCUG